RNAcentral lists this RNase P RNA (367 nucleotides) under Gemmatimonadota bacterium. Its description in RNAcentral is "RNase P RNA component class A". It matches the Rfam family "Bacterial RNase P class A". Rfam says of the family: Ribonuclease P (RNase P) is a ubiquitous endoribonuclease, found in archaea, bacteria and eukarya as well as chloroplasts and mitochondria. Its best characterised activity is the generation of mature 5'-ends of tRNAs by cleaving the 5'-leader elements of precursor-tRNAs. Lineage: Bacteria; Pseudomonadati; Gemmatimonadota. The record is from RNAcentral.
GUGGCGGAGCGGGGCGGUCGCGGCUCGCCCAUUAUGGCGUGCCGAGGAAAGUCCGAGCUCCACAGGGCAGACUGCCAGGUAACGCCUGGGCGCCGAGAGGCGACGGACAGGGCCACAGAAAAGACACCGCCCGUCGCGAGACGGGUAAGGGUGAAAAGGUGGGGUAAGAGCCCACCGCGCGCCUGGCAACAGGCGUGGCACGGCAACCCCCAGUCGGAGCAAGGCCAAAUAGGCGGCGAGGUCCGGCCCGGACCGUUUUCCAGCCGCGGGUAGGCCGCACGAGGUGUCGGGCGACCGGCACCCAAGAGAGAUGACCGUCCGGCGGUUCGCCGUCGAACAGAACUCGGCUUACGGCUCCGCCACUCCG